RNAcentral lists this ribosomal RNA (253 nucleotides) under uncultured bacterium. RNAcentral's name for it is "partial 16S ribosomal RNA". It matches the Rfam family "Bacterial small subunit ribosomal RNA", at positions 524 to 776 of the family's 1533-position model. The record is from RNAcentral.
UACGUAGGGGGCAAGCGUUAUCCGGAAUCAUUGGGCGUAAAGCGCGUGUAGGCGGUUCCGUAAGUCCGCUCUGAAAGCCCAGGGCUCAACCCUGGGAGGCGGGUGGAUACUACGGAACUGGAGUACGGAAGAGGAGAUUGGAAUUCCUGGUGUAGCGGUGAAAUGCGCAGAUAUCAGGAGGAACACCAACAGCGAAGGCAGAUCUCUGGGCCGUAACUGACGCUGAGGAGCGAAAGCGUGGGGAGCGAACAGG